CAGUAGCCGCGGUAAUACAGAGGGUGCGAGCGUUAAUCGGAUUUACUGGGCGUAAAGCGUGCGUAUGCGGCUUUUUAAGUCGGAUGUGAAAUCCCUGAGCUUAACUUAGGAAUUGCAUUCGAUACUGGGAAGCUAGAGUAUGGGAGAGGAUGGUAGAAUUCCAGGUGUAGCGGUGAAAUGCGUAGAGAUCUGGAGGAAUACCGAUGGCGAAGGCAGCCAUCUGGCCUAAUACUGACGCUGAGGUACGAAAGCAUGGGGAGCAAACAGGAUUAGAUACCCGCGUAGUCCCUGUCUCUUAUAC
This 301-nucleotide ribosomal RNA is filed under the name uncultured bacterium. RNAcentral's name for it is "partial 16S ribosomal RNA". It matches the Rfam family "Bacterial small subunit ribosomal RNA", at positions 509 to 807 of the family's 1533-position model. The record is from RNAcentral.